This 3748-nucleotide long non-coding RNA is filed under the name Mus musculus (house mouse). Its description in RNAcentral is "long non-coding RNA chr3:126600713-126604461". Lineage: Eukaryota; Metazoa; Chordata; Mammalia; Rodentia; Muridae. The record is from RNAcentral.
GUCAAUGCUCACCCUUUUCUCCUCCGUGGGAGAUGAGUGCCCCAGCCUGAGCGGCCUCCAGCACUUUCUUCUCUGAACGCUUCCUCCAGUGUCACUCAGCUGCUCAUGCCCAGCCUCUACAAAUCACCUUCCUGUCUCAGAAGACACUCUUGUUAUCUUCCUGUGCGAUUUUUUGAUUAUUUAUGUUUUAUUUAUUAUUUUUAGGUGUGUGUGUGUGUCUGGGCCCUCAGGGCUGGGUAGUGGGAACUGAACUCCUCCAGCCUGCAAGAACAAGGAUAUCUAUCCCUCAUUUGUUGAGCUAUCUCUCCAGCCUCUUUCUUUGCUCUAUAUUCCCCAGAAAAAAUGCCAUCUGUCCUGGAGCUGGAGUGAUAAUGCUCUCGCUUUCAGUCCUGAUUCCUGCACCUGCUAGCUAGGUGAUCUUAGGCAAUCUACUCAUUUUAAUCUGAACCUCAGUCUUUUCAUCUGUAACAUGGGGUGAGGUAGAAUCCUUCCUUGUAGGGGUUUGAUUGAUCUGUUUGGCUUAGUGUGUAGUGUAGAGAAGUGCCUCCCACUAAGUGUUCUCGUAGUGAAUAUCAGUUUCCAUAUUAGAUGAUGGGAAUGUGGUGAUAAUCAAAUUCCAUUACUCUACAUAAAAUGUCUUAGUUCACAUGAAAGUAUGUGCAAAUUGUGGCUUUAGUGACAGUUCUGAUGUGGCCCAAUUCAAACAGUGGCUCAGACACUAGGUGUAUAAAUUGAUCCAAUCAUGUACUUUCCUAAUAUCUCAGAUUCUUCGUCAAUAAAAUGGUAAAACUUAUGAGUCUCAUGGGGUGUCUUGCCAGUCUCACUUAUUACAAAUUUACUUAUUACAAUUGUAUGUAAAGAAUAUAAUAUUCCCUACCAAAUGCUCAGUAGCACUGCUUUGUAUUGACACACAAUUAGAGAUGGUUAUAGAUUAGUUUUAUUUUGUAGUGAACGUAUUUGUUUCCAUUGUACUCAUAUUGAGUUACAAAUUACCUGAAGGAAAAUCCCGUGCUUUCUCCUUUGAUAGAACAUUCAAGUAGACAGCACUGGGAACACUGAAGGCCUUCAAGAUAGAGGGACUAGGAUGCAAUGUGCUUCUGACAGUAUUUGUAACGUAGUUACGCACUUGGUUUCUUGCUGAGACCAAGCACAUUCUGAAAUGUAUGAAGUCUAUUUAGAGACUGUAUUUUAAAAUACAAAGUUUGGGAGCUGGAAAGAUGGUGCUGUGAAGAGCACUUUCUGCUCUUGUAGAGGGCCCAGAGUGUGGUUCACAGCACCCACAUGGCUAAGACCUGUUUAUAACUCCCGUUCCAGAAGCCCUGAGGCCCUCUUCUGACCUUGAUGAGUACCGCAUGCAUGCAGUAAAACUUGCAGGCAGAAAAAUCAUAUUCACACAUGAAAUGAAAAUGAAUAAAUACUAAAAAUAUAUAAUCUAAAUUUUCUUUUAAUAACACUUCUUUUACAGUAAUCUAGUUUAAAGGUUUUUGCAGGAACAUUUUAUUUUUUGUAUUUUUAAAAAUUUAAUUUAAUUUUUUAAUUAUUUACUUUACAUCCCAGCUCACUGGCCUCCUCCAGGUCACCUGUCACCCCUUCCACCACCCUUUCCCCUUCCCUCUUCUCCCUCCCCUUCUCCUCUAAGCAGAUGGGCGCCUCCCUAGGUAUCCCCCCUCCCAGCACUUCAAGUGGGAGGGGGGGUGCAGACGGUGGACUAGGCGCUUCCUCUCCCACUGAGGCCAAACAAGGCAGCCCAGCUAGAAGAACAUAUCCCAUGUCCAGGCAACAGCUUUUGAGAUUGCCCUCAUGUAGGAACAUUUUUGUAGUGAGAAACAUUCAAAGACAAAGAUAGAGUUCACUGCAAUAUAGUAUUAAUAACCCCCCUCCUCCCAAUGAUUUGUCAGAGCUCCAACAGACACUUUGGUGGAAUAGACAAUUUUUGUGCAAUAUUUUUGUUUAUAGUAUUUGACAUAACAUGCCUUAAUAAAUCUAAUCCUUAAGGCUGUGCAUUUUAAAGACAAGGACAUUUCUACUACUCCCCUUUGUGCUGGGAAUUUAACCUAGGGCCUCCUCACACACGCUAGGCAAAGACACUACCAUUUAACUGUGUUAUCUGCCCUCGACUAAUGCUCUUUAGCUGUAACAGAGAAAAAGAGAAAGUGCCAUUUGUCAAUCAAUCCAAGGCCACGGUGGGAACUGCCAAACAUUUGGCGGGAUUCCUGCACACAUCUGAGCAUCCUCUCUGCUGUCACCCAGACUGUUUACUGUGCCUCGACUGUAACGGGCUCUCAGCAGACAGCGUUGGCUGCAUUCGCUGUCACUGUUAGGCACACACACCAUAUUUGGGAGACUCGGAGUCUGUUGAAGAAUUCCGCUGUGUCUUCAUCUGCAUCUGCCCACAGAUCAUUCUGUAUUAGUGUAAGCCUGUACGUCAGUAGGCUCAGGAUAUCUUAUUUGGCCUCUUGUUAUUUUUUUUUUAAAUAUCCUAAGGGUGGCCGACAUUUGAUAUUGUGUAUGUAAUUACGAGUUCUGAAAAGCUGUUUUAAUUAGGCAUGCUUAGUGAGGAGAGAGGAGGACGGUGGGACAUGUCUCAUAUGCUCAUCUUUGGUCUUAGAUAUUCUGUUGUUUUGAUCCAAACUGUUAGGUUAGUUAGUAUCCGUCAAAUGCUUACUUGUUCUAACCUCAGUCUAUAUUUUGUCUAUCCUCUGGGCGUGGUUAGAGCCGUUAGCUGUUACUAGGUGAUGUGAAGACAACAGUAAGCUGACGGCCUUCAGAAACAGUUCAUGUGGUAGAUGGUGCAUUUUAAAACUUCUCGGUAGGAGUGAUGACUUCUUGAUAUUCAUUUUACAUUUGCGCGUUCUCAUCCUUAGAAAGCCUUUACUGCUACACUGCCAAGCAUGCCGUAGUUACUGUUUUCACAAAAGAAAACUUCAUUAUAAGCUUGACAUAAACGUGCGACAUGAGUCUCUGUUUACAUUGAUUUCAUUGCUAAAUUUAGCAAGCUAUAUUUCUGUAAUGUAGUAAAUCAUUUUAAUUUUAUUAUGCUAAUUCUAUUAAUUCCUAAUUUCAUAAUGUUAGUAGAACACGAAGGAGGACCUUAGGAGACUACUUGUCCAUGCAUAUAAAUUCAAUGUUGUACGUAUACUCCAAGUAAUAUUUUUUUUUUGUUUAAGAAAGAUGUCAAAACUGAGGCUUGCUAAUUUUGUUUUUGACAUCAAGCAGUUAAGAAAUUAUCUGAGCCUCUCAACUUUAUGCCUACUUUCUUGACUUGGAAUUAAAAUUGAGAUUAGAUGGAGGGAAUGAAGAUCCAAUUCUACUUUGCUGAUUUGGCUGUUUGCAACCAAUUGAACAUCAGUAACACCAAAAUGGCAAAAAAAAAGAACAUUUUCAGAAAAAAAAUGCGAGUUGCUUUUGUUCUCUAUGUAAGACUGAACACAGGAUGUAAUAUUCAGAUCGCUUUGUAUCUUGUUUCUGCAUUAUACAUAUCUGAUGAAGAGGUCCCCACGUGUGCUUGGAAUUAGAGAUGGUUUUUAGCCACCAUGUGGGUGCUGGGGACGGAGCCAGGUCCUCUGCUAGAGGAGCCGGUGAGCUUCACUGCUGAGCUUUCUCUCCAGCCCCAUAUUCUUUUCUUUUCUAUUAAUUUUUUUCAUAUGAUACGUUCUGAUCACACUUUCUAUUCUUAACUCCUACCAGAUCCUUUCCACCUCCUCAUCCCUAAAAUUCCCACCUUUCCCUUUUCAGAAAACAAACAGGC